AAUACAAAAUGAUUUCAGAAUUUCAUUAAAAUUGGAUUCCAUGACAAUCCAACUUGUCCCACAUUGCUUGUAAGGAAAAACCUAGUCAUUUGGGGUUCUAUAAAUAGAACCCCAAUUCUUCAUUCUCGUAUAAGGUUUUAACACCACAAAGUUCGGAAACUUUGAAUACUUGGAUCAAAACAAGAGUUUUCCCACAUCUAAGUUGAGUUCUCCGAGUAUCGGAACAAGUUAAAAAGUUUUUGAGUUUGAGUCAGCUCAUCAUCAUUUGUGAAAAGUAAUCGACUCAACUCUCGUGGUCCCUGUCGCUACUCGGCAAAAAGAGUAUCAGGUCGAAUCUACUUCUCUGACUCGUGGUUGUUUGACUCUUCAGCUCCCACUUGAGUUUUCCAGGGUGAUCAUGGCGUCCGCUGACCUCGAAGACUCUUUAAUUACUUAUGUCUUGCUUUCCAUUCAGAGACAUGCUUUGAGACUACUUAUGUAUUAUUAUUCAGACCUUUAGUAUUCGGAUUUAAUUGCUCUUGUAUGACCAGACCAAUUACUGUGGUGGAUUUCAUUUACUUCCGCACUUGUUAUUAUUAUAUAUUAUUGUGAGACUUAUAUUAUUUUA
This is a long non-coding RNA of Lycium barbarum (goji berry), 607 nucleotides long. RefSeq lists it as uncharacterized. Lineage: Eukaryota; Viridiplantae; Streptophyta; Magnoliopsida; Solanales; Solanaceae. The record is from RefSeq and is a predicted model, not a curated record. The transcript has 2 exons.